RNAcentral lists this long non-coding RNA (1251 nucleotides) under Callithrix jacchus (white-tufted-ear marmoset). Its description in RNAcentral is "lncRNA (ENSCJAG00000082117.1)". Lineage: Eukaryota; Metazoa; Chordata; Mammalia; Primates; Cebidae. The record is from RNAcentral.
AUUUUCAGACUCAGCAGGCAGCAGGCUAAAUCUGUCCGCUGAUGGGCAGGCAUGAAUUAUGAAACCACUCACGCAGGUUGAGAGGUUGCCCUGAGCUGGGGAGGUGCUGCCACCAGUAUCUGCUCAAGGUGGUGGGGGGAUGGGUUGCUCCCCACUCAGGAGGGAAGGGGGAAUGUGAACAGGUGAGUGGCCACAGUGGAGGUGUGACCCGCAGACAGCGGGACCAACGGGGGCUUCCCAAAUCCUGGGCCCUCAGACUGCACGAUCAGAAGAGGGGGAAAAAACCCACGUGACAGGUCCGGCUUCCCGAGGAUGGAGGGUGAGGCUGCCCCCUAGUGGCUGAAGUUUACAACUGGGCGUACGUUCAAGGAGUCCCAGGGAAUCCGAUGCCUUCUCCCAUAAGGUGGGCUGUGCAGGCUGGAGGUGCCCCAGUGUCAGACUGAAGGCUGGAAGCCAACGUCCAUUCAUCAAGGUGACGGAACUCUGAGGGCUGGAGGGGAUGUUAAAACACUGAGGGUCAGAACACUUGUUCUCAUCAACAUCAGCAUCGGCCUUAUUGUCACCACCAUCAACAUUGUCAGCAUCACCAUCGUCAGCAGCAGCAUCAAUAUCACCAUCAUCAGGAUCACCAUUAUCAUCAUCAGCAGCAUCAGCAGCAUCAGCAGCAUCAGCACCAUCAGCAUCAGCAUCAUCAGCAUCAUCAGCACCAUUAUCAGCAGCAGCAUCACCAUCUAACAUUUCAAGGCAUUGGGCUGAUUACUUUACAUGCAUUGUCUUAUUUGUUCCCAACAAUGACAGCCCCCAAAGUUAAGUAUUAUUAUUGUUAAUAUCCUCAUUUACAGAUGUGUAAACUGAAACUUAAGAGAGAUUAAGCAACUUGCUUAGGGCCACAGAGCUAUGUUAAGUGUAAUUUUCAAAGAUGUAAAUCACAGUUCUCAGGUAAAUAUAAGAUGAUAUCAUGUCAAAGAUUUUAUUAAACUCAACAAGCAAUAAGAGAACCAAUAAGAAGUUAAAACUUAUCCAAAGAGCAUUAGAGAAUUUAGAUAUAUGCAGCAAUUUAACAGCAACAAAAAUAAGGCAAAUGUGGUAUGCUAAGUAACGUUCCCUCUGCAAAACAAACAACAAACAAACUCUAUCCUGAUACCUGGAAUUUGUGAAUAUGUUACUUGUGUUACUUUACAAGUAAAAAGGACUUUACAGAUGUGAUUAAAUUACAGGUUUUGAGAUGGGGAGAUUAUUCUGGAUGAUCUG